This 823-nucleotide long non-coding RNA is filed under the name Homo sapiens (human). RNAcentral describes it as "HSALNT0298227". The record is from RNAcentral. Lineage: Eukaryota; Metazoa; Chordata; Mammalia; Primates; Hominidae.
UUGCAGGUUUCAAAUGUGCUUUCUGUGAGAAAGUCAAGAAGGUGCCACUCCCAGCCAAGGAUAAUCCUAAUCCCUGACUUCAGCUUCUUGCUAUCUACACCAUCUGUAAAGGUUACCUAUCCUUAGACAUGUUAGGUAGGUGGGACUAUUACAUCCUUAAGACAACCUGAACUUUCCUUACUUCUGCAUCCUAAGAGGAAAGGAUCAAGUCUGAGCAAGUAUUUAGUGAAUUCUUGGUAAAUGAAAAGCACUGAUCUACUAAGCAUUUUAGCCAUUGACAGAUGUAUUUUCAAACCAAGGCAUGCUCUGUCAGAAGACUACAAAAAUAUUACUGCUUCAGGGUAAUAGUCCUUCCUUUUAUAUAAAUGCACAAAUACAUGCAUGUGUGUGUGUGCACAUAUGCAUUUGAAGAUAAGUAUUUACCUGCUCCUGUUGUACGUCCUCGACUCCAAUCACUAUAUACUGAACCUCCUUCAUGCGAGGCUAUCACUCGAUACAGAAACCAUAUCAGUAACCAUAUGAUAUUUAAAAUCUUGAGAUCAAUUGUGUCGAGUAAAACAAAUUAAAUCAUGCCAGAUAAAAAUUAUGAAUUUUUCCAUAAAAGCAUCAUCUUCAGGAAGGACCUCAGGAUCCUUCCUGAGGAUGGUAUAACUUCGCGGGAGCCCUCCCAGAAAGACUCCUGUGUUAUCUCCAAUAACAGUACUACCAUUCAGGAUGGCAGAGGAACCUAGAGAAGAGGAGAUGAGAAAUACACCUUCACCAGGAUACUCUAGUUUUACUAGCUCAGCAAAUAAUAAAAUCCUUCACCAGCCUUUGGGAUACC